AGCUGCUUUCAUGCUCCGGAUUACUCAUUUUUCCAGGCACGCCGACAAAUCAGCCGUAUGCAAAGGAAUUUCUGCUGUACACGAAGCGAUAGCUGUACCUGUAAUCAUACAAUACUACAACAAAUAGUAUAGAGCUGCUAAAAGAAAUGAGAUAUAUAAAACAGAAGAUCACUAUACAUACAUCACAACCCGGUGAACAAAACACUCGCUCCAGCGAGAUACAACAAAAGUAUGUAUAUGAACUCAAAACCUACCAUUAACUGUAGCU
Molecule: long non-coding RNA, 268 nt
Filed under: Ananas comosus (pineapple)
Lineage: Eukaryota; Viridiplantae; Streptophyta; Magnoliopsida; Poales; Bromeliaceae
Description: long non-coding RNA (ACOM_LNC035866)
Source: RNAcentral